GUGCACCCUAUUAAAAAAAUUGUGAAAAAACUCCCCUCACAUUUUUUGUUUACAUGUUCACACUUUUUUGCCUCGAUAAAAAAGAUGUGAAACACGUGUAGUACAAGCGCUUUGAGGGUCGAAUGCCGCCACCGAAAACGUACGCGUGCGUCAUCUAUCGGAUAGAUAGAAUACGUAGUGAUUGUGGUCGGUAUUGUCAAUGUCUUCUUAAUAGUGUAACCAGUAUUGACAAUAACAUAUGGGAGAUUAUGACAGUAAACUACAGUAGUAUCAAAGAUCCGCACGUGGUGGUUCCGAGAUUUCUUUUUGCGUAAUAUUAGGUUAUAUUAGUAUCAGACUCGAUUGAGCCAUGAGGGAACAAGAAUUGAAGUCAAAGGCAUUUAAACAUGCUGAAAACUGUUUGCUGAAUAAAAUGAGUAAUGCAUUUUUGAAAAAUUAUCCACAUCAUAUAAUGCCGGGUUAUAAUUUAAACAAAACGCCAUGUAUUGAGAACUGGGAUGAGGAGAGUGCUAUGGGACUCUAUCAAGACUUUCCAUAUAAUUGUGAUUUACCAAAACCAUUAUUACCACCUGCAAAGUUAUCAAGAACAGG
Pogonomyrmex barbatus (red harvester ant) is the source of this 591-nucleotide long non-coding RNA. Lineage: Eukaryota; Metazoa; Arthropoda; Insecta; Hymenoptera; Formicidae. The record is from RefSeq and is a predicted model, not a curated record.